AUUAAUAUUAAUCAAUAUAACAAAAAAUAUUUUAACCAUAUGGUCCUUUCGUACUAAUAUGGAUUAACAAUCUUAGGAUAGAAACCGACCUGGCUCACGCCGGUCUGAACUCAGAUCAUGUAAGAAUUUAAAGGUCGAACAGACCUAAUCAUUGGGCUCCUGCACCCAAAAUUUUUCUUAAUCCAACAUCGAGGUCGCAAUCUGCUUUGUCGAUAUGAGCUCUCAAAAACAAUUACGCUGUUAUCCCUAAGGUAACUUAAUCUUAUGAUCAUAAAUUAUGGAUCAAAAUAACAAACAUAAAUAAAUGAUAUAAUAAUGAAGAGUUUAUCUAUUCUUCAUGUCACCCCAACAAAACAUCAUCAUUAAAUAUAGAAAGACAAACAAAAAACUAUAUAAAAGUAAAAUGUCAAGCUCUAUAGGGUCUUCUCGUCCUAAAGAAGAAUUUAAGCCUUUUGACUCAAAAGUUAAAUUCAAAACUUUAUUAAGAGACAGUUGAUUUCUCGUCAAGCCAUUCAUUCCAGCCACUAAUUAAGAGACUAAUGAUUAUGCUACCUUUGCACGGUCAAAAUACCGCGGCUCUUUAAAAAUACGCUCAGUGAGCAGGCCAGACCUCAAAAUAUAAACAAGAGGACAUGUUUUUGAUAAACAGGCGGAAAUCAAUUUUGCCUAGUUCCUUAUAAUAAGUUCACAAGGUAAAAAUUUCAUACAAAUAAAUAUACUAAUUCUAUCAUUAUAACAAAAAUUUUAAAAUUAAAUUAAUAAUCUUAAUAAAAAACCUAAAAUAUUUAUAAAAUCAAAAUAAAAAAUAAUGAACUAAAACGU
This is a long non-coding RNA of Schistocerca gregaria, 822 nucleotides long. RefSeq lists it as uncharacterized. The record is from RefSeq and is a predicted model, not a curated record. The transcript is spliced from 2 exons. Lineage: Eukaryota; Metazoa; Arthropoda; Insecta; Orthoptera; Acrididae.